RNAcentral lists this ribosomal RNA (302 nucleotides) under uncultured bacterium. RNAcentral's name for it is "partial 16S ribosomal RNA". It matches the Rfam family "Bacterial small subunit ribosomal RNA", at positions 508 to 807 of the family's 1533-position model. The record is from RNAcentral.
GCAGUCGCCGCGGUAAUACAGAGGGUGCGAGCGUUAAUCGGAUUUACUGGGCGUAAAGCGUGCGUAGGCGGCUAAUUGAGUCGGAUGUGAAAUCCCCGAGCUUAACUUGGGAAUUGCAUUCGAUACUGGUUAGCUAGAGUGUGGGAGAGGAUGGUAGAAUUCAAGGUGUAGCGGUGAAAUGCGUAGAGAUCUGGAGGAAUACCGAUGGCGAAGGCAGCCAUCUGGCCUAACACUGACGCUGAGGUACGAAAGCAUGGGGAGCAAACAGGAUUAGAUACCCCGGUAGUCCCUGUCUCUUAUAC